This 220-nucleotide ribosomal RNA is filed under the name Paramoeba aestuarina. Its description in RNAcentral is "partial Bacterial large subunit ribosomal RNA". It matches the Rfam family "Bacterial large subunit ribosomal RNA", at positions 588 to 810 of the family's 2925-position model. The record is from RNAcentral. Lineage: Eukaryota; Discosea; Flabellinia; Dactylopodida; Paramoebidae.
GUUCUGUGACUGCGUACCUUUUGUAUAAUGGGUCAGCGACUUAUAUUUAGUAGCAAGGUUAAGUGAAUAACGGAGCCGUAGCGAAAGCGAGUGUUAACUGCGCGUUUAGUUGCUAGGUAUAGACCCGAAACCCGGUGAUCUAGCCAUGGGCAGGUUGAAGGUUGAGUAACAUCAACUGGAGGACCGAACCCACUAACGUUGAAAAGUUAGGGGAUGACUU